Oreochromis aureus is the source of this 1183-nucleotide long non-coding RNA. NCBI's taxonomy places the organism in Eukaryota, Metazoa, Chordata, Actinopteri, Cichliformes, Cichlidae. The record is from Ensembl.
GCUGGAGCCUGGGUGACGCCACCGCGCCCCGACCAGACCCUCCGACCGGCUUCCUCCACCUACCUAUUCCGAAUCUACACAAGAAACGCUAUAGGAAACGCGGUAGAAGGAGCGGCCGUCGCGUUCGCCUCAGGGUCUACUUUAAAGCCAGCCACAGGCUACCCACAUGCCAGCCUGGAUAUUUAAUCUUCUUUCCCUCCCUCCAAGGAGCGCUCUGAUGCUAAGUUGCUCACCCACUGUUGGAUCUGCUCGGCUGACCACGAAGUCUACCCUGCCAUUCCUGUGGCAUGUUUUCCUGCUCAGGUUUGGAUAACAUCGCUCCGACGCGGCGUUUGCCGAAGCAACCUAAGUGUCCUACGACGCACCACCUGUGGCGACUUAGCCCCUAGGAUACGGAUGGCAUUGCUUAAUGUCAGGUCGCUGGUCAAUAAGACUUUUCUCUUAAAUGACUUCCUCUCCACUAAUGGGAUUGAUGCUUUAUUCCUGACUGAAACCUGGAUUCGUCCUGGAUUGCAGGAGGGCUGGAGCCUAUCCCAACUACCAUACCCGGAGAGAACCCACGCAAACACGGGGAACUCCACACAGAGAGGACCCGGCCAGGUGGUGGAAUCACACUCAGGAGCUUCUUGCUGUGAGCUAACAGUGGUAUGUGCUGUGAUAUAAAUCAAACAGACAGAUGUCUCUGGUGAGAUCAGCGGUUGGGCCCUCGCUGCUUUAACCCUUUAACCGAUUCCCACAGACGAGUUAGCAAGGACGCAUGCAGCAGGCUGGUAAAUGACAGUAUUCAGCUGUGUUAGGACCAGGGAUCUACCUCCACUCCAGCAUGUCUUCUAUCACUGGAACAGGAGAGGCAGACGAGAUUAUUUUUAAAGAAUCAUCUCCUUGCCUCACCUGCCUGCCUUCCUGCCCUUACACCACCACGGGAUCUUCACCGCUCAGGACAGCUGACACACACCACCAAACCCACCCGGACCGCACCAACUCUCCUUCAACGCUUCCAUCUCCCACCUGCACAUACAUACCUAAUCACCAGCCAGCUGCUGUUGCUUUCUUGGACCUGUCCCCUUUCUUUAUCCCUCUCCCCUGGCCAAGACCCUCACGCCCCAUGUGUCAAGCCUUAAGUCAAGUGUCAUAGUAAACAUCAUUCUUGUGCUAAUUAAUAAACCUUUGUUAAACCCUUUCC